RNAcentral lists this ribosomal RNA (252 nucleotides) under uncultured prokaryote. RNAcentral's name for it is "partial 16S rRNA". It matches the Rfam family "Bacterial small subunit ribosomal RNA", at positions 525 to 775 of the family's 1533-position model. The record is from RNAcentral.
ACGUAGGGUGCAAGCGUUGUCCGGAUUUACUGGGCGUAAAGAGCGCGUAGGCGGUCUGCUAAGUGAGAAGUGAAAUCUUCAGGGCUCAACCCGAAAAUUGCUUUUCAUACUGACAGACUGGAGGAAUGCAGAGGUAUGUGGAAUUCCAGGUGUAGCGGUGAAAUGCGUUGAUAUCUGGAGGAACACCCAUGGCGAAGGCAGCAUACUGGGCAUUAUCUGACGCUGAGGCGCGAAAGCGUGGGUAGCAAACAG